CCUACGGGAGGCAGCAGUGGGGGAUAUUGCACAAUGGGGGAAACCCUGAUGCAGCGACGCCGCGUGGGUGAAGAAGCGCCUCGGCGCGUAAAGCCCUGUCAGCAGGGAAGAAAAUGACGGUAGCUGAAGAAGAAGCCCCGGCUAACUACGUGCCAGCAGCCGCGGUAAUACGUAGGGGGCAAGCGUUAUCCGGAUUUACUGGGUGUAAAGGGGGCGCAGACGGCGAUGCAAGCCAGGCGGGAAAGCCCGGGGCCCAACCCCGGGACUGCUCUUGGAACUGCGUGGCUAGAGUGCAGGAGGGGCAGGCGGACUUCCUGGUGUAGCGGUGAAAUGCGUAGAUAUCAGGAGGAACACCGGUGGCGAAGGCGGCCUGCUGGACUGCAACUGACGUUGAGGCCCGAAAGCGUGGGGAGCAAACAGGAUUAGAUACCCCUGUAGUC
This 440-nucleotide ribosomal RNA is filed under the name uncultured bacterium. RNAcentral describes it as "partial 16S ribosomal RNA". It matches the Rfam family "Bacterial small subunit ribosomal RNA", at positions 338 to 795 of the family's 1533-position model. The record is from RNAcentral.